GGGUGCGAUCAUACCAGCGUUAAUGCAUCAGAUCCCAUCAAAACUCCGUAGUUAAGUGCGCUUGGGAUAGAAAAAAACUGGGAUGGGUGACCUCCCGGGAAGUACUAGUGUUUCACCCU
This is a non-coding RNA of Picea glauca (white spruce), 119 nucleotides long. The record is from Rfam. NCBI's taxonomy places the organism in Eukaryota, Viridiplantae, Streptophyta, Pinopsida, Pinales, Pinaceae.